RNAcentral lists this non-coding RNA (22 nucleotides) under Gossypium hirsutum (cotton). The record is from RNAcentral. Lineage: Eukaryota; Viridiplantae; Streptophyta; Magnoliopsida; Malvales; Malvaceae.
AAGCACCUUUCCAACUACUCAA